UUCAGAACUAACUACACAAAAAUUUUGACUUUGAGCAGUGAUCUCGACUUCCACAUACGAUCAUAUCUUUUUACCGGUUCGUUUGUUUCAUUUAGAAAUAAACUUGGCUGGCAAUGUAAAUCAACUAGGAUUCGAACUUGGGACCUCGGAUACCAACCAUCAAGCCCUUUGCCACUUGCACUAGGGACGGUCGGUGCUUCUAAACGAAUCUACAUAAUAAAUUUAUAACAUCUAAUUUUCA
Molecule: long non-coding RNA, 241 nt
Filed under: Ananas comosus (pineapple)
Lineage: Eukaryota; Viridiplantae; Streptophyta; Magnoliopsida; Poales; Bromeliaceae
Description: long non-coding RNA (ACOM_LNC018775)
Source: RNAcentral